Molecule: long non-coding RNA, 435 nt
Organism: Tympanuchus pallidicinctus (lesser prairie-chicken)
Lineage: Eukaryota; Metazoa; Chordata; Aves; Galliformes; Phasianidae
Exons: 3
Source: RefSeq, a predicted model, not a curated record
GAAUGACAGAAUGGCCUGGGUUGCACAGGAGCACAGCGCUCAUCCAGCUCCAAGCCCUGCUGUGUGCAGGUCGCCAAGCAGCAGCCCAGGCUGCCCACAGCCACAUCCAGCCUGGCCUUGAAUGCCUGCAGGGAUGGGGCAUCCACAGCCUCCUUGGGCAACCUGUGCCAGUGCCUCACCACCCUCUGCCUCCAAAACUUCCUCCUCACAUCCAACCCAAACCUCCCCUGUCUCACUUUCAAGCCAUUCCCCUUGUCCUGUCACCACCCACCCUCACACACAGCCGUUCCCCCUCCUGUUUAUCCGCUCCCUUCAAGCACUGAAGGCCACCAUCAGGUCUCCCUGCAGCCUUCUCUUCUCCAAGCCAAACAAGCCCAGUUCCCUCAGCCUUUCCUCACACAGAGCUGCUCCAGCCCUCUGCUCAUCUCAGUGCCC